Molecule: transfer RNA, 68 nt
Filed under: Sipyloidea sipylus
Lineage: Eukaryota; Metazoa; Arthropoda; Insecta; Phasmatodea; Lonchodidae
Description: tRNA-Ser
Source: RNAcentral
AAUUAAUAAGUUUUAAGAAACAUAUAUUUUGAAAAUAUAAAAAAGAAGUUAAAAUCUUCUAUUAAUUU